GUAAAUGGACUUGAUGCAUGAAGCUCUGGAAAUAAAAAAUAUAGUAUUCGUUUCGAACAAUCAGGACCUCUCACAUCGAGUUAAAUGUAUUUUGAGAUUCACAUUGUAUUCUCUCUUUGAGAGUUAAAUGAGAUGCAGAUUUCCUGCAGUAGUUUUUCACAAAGUUUUCACAGUUUUAAAUCUGGACCGUUGAUUAUAAAUCGGACGGUCCAGAUCAACGCAGUUAAAAAAUCACAUGAAACAAUCUCUACCACAGAUUUUUGAUCGGAUGACUGUAAUGCAAAACUGCGUGGAAACUGUGUCAAAAUAAACUAAUGUACACUUGUUAGUUGCAGGUCAUAAUAGUAUCUGAAUAAACCUCAAAAGCAAAUGAGUUUAGUACCCAAGCUUCAUUAGACAAGCAUUGUUGGAACAACAUGGGAAAUCAUAAGUUAAAGCUAAGUAAGCAUCAUUCAAGUGAGGUAUGACUGGUUCAUCUCUAUUCAUUAGUCAAAACUCAAUACUCUAUUCAAUUCUUGUUGAAUAAAGUGCAAGUUAGAAAAAUUUCAUAUAUGAGAUGAAUCUUAAUUCUAUGUGUGAUUCAAAAUCUUAACCUCUGCAUUUUGUGGCUAGGCCUAGGCAUAGUAAAAAUAAUUUAUUCUGAAUAAUGUGUUUGAACUUCAUUUAAACACAUGUCCCACUAAAAGUGUUGCAUAUCUGAAUAAGCUUCUAACUUGGGUAUUAAUUGUUGGAUAUUAACUUAGAGGUAUUAAGAGAAGAAGGAAGACCUUGCAGGUGCUUCCAUGGCUAUGGUUACUGAAGAAGAAAAAGAUCAGAAUUUUACAUGUUCAAGUUCUAGAGUUGGAGCAUGUAAUUUAUACAUUUCAGUUCGAGAACUCGAACAACGCUCUAUACAUAUCUAUGAAUCUCACAUUAUUAUUAUUUUGAAAUUUGCUAUCUGGCCUUAAGACCGACUAAUCCAAGAGUAUCAAUCACACUGCCCACUUGCGGGGGAUCCAUUUAAAACCAGAGUUUGUUUUUUUGCUCUGUAUGAACUUAAUCAGGGGGAAUCAAACCUGAGACCUUGAGAGGAGUAUACUCCAAGGACCCAAGCCAACACCACUAGACCAACCCCAAAUGGAUUUAUUAUUAUUAUUAUUAUUAUUAUUAUUAUUAUUAUUGACUUUUGACCAUAUUUGAAAUAAAUUAGUUUGAUUGUUAGGAUUAGGUUUUAGUUUGUUAACUUCCUAUUGGCUUAUGAAAUUUUAAUAUGUGGAGUUAGUACUGAUCUCAAAAUAUGGACGAAGAAUGCC
This 1292-nucleotide long non-coding RNA is filed under the name Trifolium pratense (red clover). RNAcentral's name for it is "long non-coding RNA (TPRA_LNC001074)". Lineage: Eukaryota; Viridiplantae; Streptophyta; Magnoliopsida; Fabales; Fabaceae. The record is from RNAcentral.